UUUUUAAUUUCCACUCCCCCUCUCCUCUGAGUUUCUCUUUCUCAGAACCCUCUCUCUCCACAACGCCAAGGCCGUGAAGGACCUCCGAUCCUGCAUGGACGCCGACGUGUCCCUCGCUCUCAAGAAGACAAGCUGAUCAAAGUCAAGCUCGAGGCGCUGUGGAUCGGACCAGGACCUCCGUGGUGAACGGGCUGAGGAAGAAGCUGAAGGAUUCGUUUGAGGGUUUCAAUAAUCUCCGGCAACAGAUCUCGUCGGAGUAUCGGGAGAUCGUACAACGCCGGUACUUCACCGUCACCGGCAAAAAUCCCGACGACAAAACCGUUGACCUUCUUAUUUCCACAGGCUCAGUGGGGAAGAAGAAAAAUUAAAGCAGAGCAUUAACACUAAAAUUUUCACUCUCGGGGAAAGAAAAAACCGUCUUUUUAUUACUCAUCUUCGAAAGAGGUUUGAUAGAGAGCAUGGUGGAAGCAGAUGGAGUCGAGAACCUUGAAUUUGAAUGGGGUAAAAAGAGAGGAGUUGGUGGGAAAAAGAAAGAUGUCCAAUUUUAUGAAACGUUUACAUAUGAUGGUGUGGAGUAUUCUCUCUAUGAUUCUGUUUACCUUUACAAGGAAGGUGAACCCGACCCUUAUGUUGGGAAAAUUAUAAAAAUAUGGGAGAAUUCAGACAAGACAAAAAAAGUGAAGAUUCUUUGGUUCUUUCGCCCUUGCGAGAUUCAGAAUUUUCUUGGGAAUGAAGACAGUGCUGAGAAUGAAUUAUUUUUGGCCUCUGGUGAAGGUGUAGGCCUUGCAAAUGUUAAUCCUUUGGAAGCAAUUUCUGGAAAAUGCAAUGUUGUCUGUACUUCAAAGGAUAGUAGAAAUCCACAACCUUCAGAUGAAGAACUUCAAGCAGCUGACUUUAUAUUUUGCCGUGCCUUUGAUGUUGGGAAUCAUAGAAUUCUGGAUAAGAUAGAGGAAAAAGUUGCUGGGAUUGAAGUUAAAUUUAUCUUUAACAGAAUAGAUCUUCAGAAGACCAAUGUUGUUUUGAAACUUGAUUCAGACAAGAAAGGAGCUAGUGGAAAUGCUGUAGCAAGUUAUGAAACAGGGGUUCCUUCCCAGCAAACUCCAACUAUAGAGCACACAAAUCUAAAGACAACUGGAAUUUCUAUUGAUAAUUUAGGGAAGGACAAUGCUGGUUCUAACUCUUCAUUAGUUAAACAGAAAUCUUCACUUAGAGAGAAGCCUAUUUCUACCAUAGGUGUAGAAUCUGAUGAAAUGGCUAAAAGUAAUGAUAGAAUGGAGAAUGAUUUCAAUGACGGGACCAAAUCUGGUCCUAUUGUUAAAGAAAAUACAGACUUGAAAGCUUCUCUAGUUGAACAAAAAUCUUUGCUUAGAAAGCAGCCUGUUUCUAAUAUAGGUACAGAGGUAAAAAUUUCUAAAACUAAUAAUAGACAGGAAAAUGUUUCUAGUGGCAAGACUACAUUAAGGUUUGAAGAUGAUUCAAUCAAGGUUGGUAAACGGGUUGACAUUGAGAAGAAAGUAAAGUCUGCUAAGGAUUUUGGUGAAAUGGAGGAUAGACCAUCUAAGAGAGCAAAGUUUGAUGGUUUUGUUAAAGUUGAUGAUAAGAACAAGAAGAGUCCACAGAUAUUAAGCACUGAUUUGGAUAGUAAUGAUGCAAAGGCUUUAGCAACUGUAACUGCUUUAGAUGAUAAAUCUAGGCUUAAACUUGCUAAGGAUACUCAAGUGGCUGAAAAAGAUCCUUUCAAGAAGGUAAAACCUGAUGACAAGACAAAGUUUUCUAAUGGGAGGUUGCCUACAGCAUCUCCUGGACGGGCUUUGGAUGAGGACAAAAAGAUUGAUCACCAAGUAAUGGAAGUAACACGAAGACCAGAUACGGAUAGAAGCAGAUGGUUUAAGGGACUUCCCUGGGAAGACAGAAUGAAAACUGCUAAUGAGCAAGGAACACUGGUUCUUCUUCAAAAUUUGGAUCCAACUUAUACUUCAGCAGAAGUGGAGGAUAUUGUUUGGCAUGGCUUCAAGGAAAGUUGCACAGCAAAGAUGAUUCAGCAGACUUCAAUUUCUAGCCCUCACUCUGGUCAAGCUUUAAUUAUAUUUAAAACAAGAGAAGCAGCAGAGAUAGCUGUUAGAAAGUUAGAUGAGGGCUGUCUAUUAUUAUCAAAUGGGAGGCCUCUUGUUGGAAGUAAAAUUACUUGCUACCCAGAAAAGAAGCCUUCUUUUUUUGGCCAUCUUGUUAUUGAUAAACUUAAACAUCAAAUGCAACGGGAAAUGAAAGAAGCUGUAUCUACUUCACAUUGUUCUCAGCCUAAUACAAUUGAAUAUGAAAUGGCCAUGGAAUGGUGCUUAUUGCAAGAUAGAUCAGAACUUGCAUGGAAAAAGUUGUAUGAGCAACAAGGGGAGGCGUUGAGAAAACUUCAGUCCAGCCUCAAGUUCAAAUGAAAAUACUAGUUGCUUUGGGCGCUUCCUCUUUAUGUACCUCUAUCUUUGUUCAUGCAUUCUGAACUUCCUCAUCCUGAAGCACCCCGAAACAAUGGAUUUUGUGUUCAUACCUUAAUGGUAUUAUCAGAAGUCAUCAAAUUAGAGGGUUCCUACCUUCUGAUUAGUAUAUAUGGGAAGAUGGAAUACAUGGGCCGAGGUCCUUAUUGGGAAUCAGGCAAAUUUUGAGCAUAUGUGCAUAUUUUUUGAGGAUCAGCUUUUGGGUGUUGGGAAUUGGAGUUCAAGUAUCAGUUUCAUGGUAACUAUUGGGCAAACAGUAUGAUCCUCUUCGAUUGAUUUGAGAUGGAGAGGGGGGCUACUUUUUUCAACGAGGAUUCAAUUGUUCACGAAACUAAAGGUUUAUACGGUGCCAUGCCAUUGAAAUUCUCAUUCCAUCAAAAAAAGAAUGAGAUUUGGAUUUAAAUCAUGUGGUAUCACUUAUACUUCUAGAUUCAUGAAAAUUAAAUUUUUUACCAUGAAAUUAUCUCACACCAUAUCAAAAGCAAAUGGAGAGGAUCGUAGUGGUUGCACAAUAUGUGCAUCAUCAGGGAUAGUGUAAAUUUAUCAUAUUUAGUGAAAUAUAUAGAGUUUAAAUUUA
This is an RNA transcript of Quercus robur (English oak), 3066 nucleotides long. It is a transcript of the gene named protein ANTI-SILENCING 1, with no coding region annotated. The transcript has 14 exons. NCBI's taxonomy places the organism in Eukaryota, Viridiplantae, Streptophyta, Magnoliopsida, Fagales, Fagaceae. The record is from RefSeq and is a predicted model, not a curated record.